UAUAUUUAAGUAUAAGAAGUACAUUAAUUUUUGAUAUUAAAAGAAGUAGUUUGAAUCUACUAAAUAUAA
RNAcentral lists this transfer RNA (69 nucleotides) under Stegobium paniceum (drugstore beetle). RNAcentral describes it as "tRNA-Gln". Lineage: Eukaryota; Metazoa; Arthropoda; Insecta; Coleoptera; Ptinidae. The record is from RNAcentral.